GCUUGCUUCAGCAACACAUAUACUAAAAUUGGAAUGAUUCACAGAAAGUUAGCAUGGCCCCUGUGGAAGAAUGACAUGACAAUUUGUGAAGUGUUCCAUAUAUUU
Molecule: small nuclear RNA, 105 nt
Organism: Onychomys torridus (southern grasshopper mouse)
Lineage: Eukaryota; Metazoa; Chordata; Mammalia; Rodentia; Cricetidae
Source: RefSeq, a predicted model, not a curated record